UGUUGGGGAAAUAUGGUAGGAGAAAAGCCUGUUGACCAAUUCAAAUCUCUUGCUUUAGGUGAUGAUAGGGGUUGUGGUUUGAAGGUUGAUGGGAAAGUUGUUUGUUGGGGUGAAAAUGGUUUUAGUCUACCUUCAAAUUUGAGUGAUAUAUCUUUUGAAACAUUAGAAGCAAAACAAGAUAUUUUUUGUGGCAUUGAGACCUCAAAUUAUUCAUUGUUCUGUUGGGGAAAUGAGAUUUUCAAUUCAAAUCCAGUAGUCUAUGAUGGUGUACAAGUUGUUCCAGGACCAUGUACCACUUCAUGUCCUUGUGCACCUUUAGGUAACUAUG
RNAcentral lists this unclassified non-coding RNA (328 nucleotides) under Hevea brasiliensis (rubber tree). The record is from RNAcentral. Lineage: Eukaryota; Viridiplantae; Streptophyta; Magnoliopsida; Malpighiales; Euphorbiaceae.